UGAGGAAUAUUGGUCAAUGGGCGCAAGCCUGAACCAGCCAUCCCGCGUGCAGGAAGACGGCCCUAUGGGUCGUAAACUGCUUUUCCGGGGGGAGAAUUUUUCUGUCGUGACAGGAAUUGACGGUACCCUGGGAAUAAGCAUCGGCUAACUCCGUGCCAGCAGCCGCGGUAAUACGGAGGAUGCGAGCGUUAUCCGGACUUAUUGGGUUUAAAGGGUGCGUAGGCGGAUUGAUAAGUCAGUGGUGAAAACCUGCAGCUUAACUGUAGACUUGCCGUUGAUACUGUCAGUCUUGAGUGUGGUCAAGGUAGGCGGAAUGUGUAAUGUAGCGGUGAAAUGCUUAGAUAUUACACAGAACACCGAUUGCGAAGGCAGCUUACUGGGCCAUUACUGACGCUGAUGCACGAAAGCGUGGGGAUCGAACAG
RNAcentral lists this ribosomal RNA (423 nucleotides) under uncultured bacterium. RNAcentral describes it as "bacterial SSU rRNA". It matches the Rfam family "Bacterial small subunit ribosomal RNA", at positions 355 to 775 of the family's 1533-position model. The record is from RNAcentral.